GACGAACGCUGGCGGCGUGCUUAACACAUGCAAGUCGAACGGAAAGGCCCUGCUUUUGUGGGGUGCUCGAGUGGCGAACGGGUGAGUAACACGUGAGUAACCUGCCCUUGACUUUGGGAUAACUUCAGGAAACUGGGGCUAAUACCGGAUAGGAGCUCCUGCUGCAUGGUGGGGGUUGGAAAGUUUCGGCGGUAGGGGCUGGACUCGCGGCUUAUCAGCUUGUUGGUGGGGUAGUGGCUUACAAAGGUUUUGACGGGUAGCCGACAUGGGAGGGUGGCCAGCCACAUGACGACUGAGGUACGGCGCAGACUCCAACGGGGGGCAGCGGUGGGAAAUAUUACACAGUGGGCGGAAGCGUGAUACAACAACGCCGCGUGCGGGAUGACGGCCUUCGGGUUGUAAACCGCUUUCGCCUGUGGCGAAGCGUGAGUGACGGUAAUGGGUAAAGAAGCACCGGCUAACUACGUG
Molecule: ribosomal RNA, 468 nt
Filed under: uncultured bacterium
Lineage: Bacteria
Description: partial 16S ribosomal RNA
Rfam family: Bacterial small subunit ribosomal RNA
Source: RNAcentral